UACAGAGGUCCCAAGCGUUGUUCGGAUUCAUUGGGCGUAAAGGGUGCGUAGGUGGCGGGGUAAGUUGGAUGUGAAAUCUCGGAGCUCAACUCCGAAACUGCAUUCAAUACUGCCUUGCUAGAGUACUGGAGAGGAGAUUGGAAUUUACGGUGUAGCAGUGAAAUGCGUAGAUAUCGUAAGGAAGACCAGUGGCGAAGGCGGAUCUCUGGACAGUUACUGACACUGAGGCACGAAGGCCAGGGGAGCAAACGGG
RNAcentral lists this ribosomal RNA (253 nucleotides) under uncultured bacterium. RNAcentral's name for it is "partial 16S ribosomal RNA". It matches the Rfam family "Bacterial small subunit ribosomal RNA", at positions 524 to 776 of the family's 1533-position model. The record is from RNAcentral.